CACAAACGGUGACAAUUUUCAACCCAAGAAGAGCCUAACUGUUCCAGUUAAGUUAAAACACUUGAUCCACAUGAGAAACUCUUCAUCAAACCCCUAUUGCAUAGUUUUUUGCGCAAAGUUCAUGUCUAAACAUGCUCUACGCUUGAUGGUAAGAUUUCAAGAACUGAGUAAAUUAAAGCUAAAGUUUUGAAAUGGCCAACAGCCACCUGCAGUAUACCCUCCAUCCACAGAAAUAACCUGUCCAUUGAUGUAUGAUGCAGCUGGAAGGCAAAGGAAUGCCACCAUUGAUGAAAUCUCUUCUGGUUCUCCUAUCCUAGGCAUUGCUGUUCCAGCUAUUAGCCUGAGAAAUUCCUCAACGAAAGGGGCG
Molecule: long non-coding RNA, 367 nt
Filed under: Gossypium barbadense (sea-island cotton)
Lineage: Eukaryota; Viridiplantae; Streptophyta; Magnoliopsida; Malvales; Malvaceae
Description: long non-coding RNA (GBAR_LNC008513)
Source: RNAcentral